Molecule: ribosomal RNA, 196 nt
Filed under: uncultured bacterium
Lineage: Bacteria
Description: partial 16S ribosomal RNA
Rfam family: Bacterial small subunit ribosomal RNA
Source: RNAcentral
UGGGCAACCUGCCCUCAGCUCUGGGACAAACUACCGGGAAACCGGGCUAAUACCGGAUACGACCUUCCCUCGCAUGGGGGUUGGUGGAAAGUUCUUCGGCUGAGGAUGGGCCCGCGGCCUAUCAGCUUGUUAGUGGGGUGAUGGCCUACCAAGGCGACGACGGGUAGCCGGCCUGAGAGGGCGACCGGCCACACGU